CCAUACCACUUGAGGCAGUGUGGAGCACUGAGUAGAACAGCACCGCUAAAGAAGCACAACGGCUCAGUGGCUAACACUAGCCUGUUAGCAUAACAAGCUAACACACCAUUAUCCUGCAGGAAGACCCCUGAGCCUGAAUACAAACCUGUUGCUCACACCUGUUACUUUCCACAGGUCCUCGGUGGAGUGGAACUCGGAGGCGAGGACGUUGUGUCCGUCGGGGAUGCGGGUCAUGGAGACGUGGAGACGGCCGUGGGCGAGACGAUGGGCGUUUUUGGGCAGAGUUCUCCUCAGAGCUCCAUCCAACCGACUGAACUGAGGAAACCCCAACCCGUAACCACGAGUCAGAACCAGAAGCUCCUCCCUCACACGACCUGAAUCACCAAUCACAACGCAGAAAUCACAUUCAGACCAUAACAAUCACAUUCACACAUCAACAGUCCCAUUCACACCACAGUAAUCACAUUCACAACACGAUAAUCACGAUGUGAGUAUAGAACAAGGGUAGAGAACAUUAGUACAGAAUGUGAUUACAGAAUGUACUUAUGUUCUAUACUCUUAUUCUUUACUCACAUUCUAUAUGCUCCUUCUAUGUCAUUCUAUACCUUCGUUCUAUACUCACGUUCUAUACUCGCAUUAUAUGCUCUCAUUCUGUACUCCUGUUCUAUACUCUCGUUCUAUACUCACAUUCUAUACACUUAUUCUAUAGUGAGUAUUAUACGGAAUGUGAGUAAAGAACGAGAUUAUAGAACACGAGUAUAGAUCAAGAGUACAGAAUGUGAGUAUAUAACGUAAGUGUAGAACGUGAGUAUAGAAUGUGUGUUUAGGAUGCGAGUAUAGGAUGCAAGUAUAGAAUGCGAGUAUAGAAUAUGAGUAUAGUAUGAGAGUUUAGAACACGAGUAUAGAAUAAGCGUAUAGUACGAGAGUAUAGAGCGCGAGUAUAGAUCGAGAGUAUAGAUCGAGAGUAUAGUACAAGAGUAUUGAAUGAGAGUAUAGAACCUGGUACCUAUAUCGGCUCCGCACGCCACCGCCGCCGCUACCAGUGACCCGGCCGAGGCGCCGUAUACUCUGGGGGCGUGGCGGAGGAUCCAGGGUGCGUUCUCCAGCAGCGCCUGGACCACGCCCAGCUGAUAGGUGGCCAGAAACCCCGACCCGGAGAAAGAGAUGGAGACGGGCUGGACCCUCCUGGAGUCGGACAUGACUGAACCGGACCGGACCUGCAGGGCUGCUCUGACCCGCGGGGUGGAUCACAGGGUAUAUAUCCUGCACCGGGCGGGACGGGAUAUUCCCUCCUGUCGUCA
Molecule: long non-coding RNA, 1301 nt
Organism: Astyanax mexicanus (Mexican tetra)
Lineage: Eukaryota; Metazoa; Chordata; Actinopteri; Characiformes; Acestrorhamphidae
Exons: 2
Source: RefSeq, a predicted model, not a curated record